Long non-coding RNA from Beta vulgaris subsp. vulgaris (sugar beet), 650 nucleotides. RefSeq lists it as uncharacterized. NCBI's taxonomy places the organism in Eukaryota, Viridiplantae, Streptophyta, Magnoliopsida, Caryophyllales, Amaranthaceae. The transcript has 2 exons. The record is from RefSeq and is a predicted model, not a curated record.
UAAUUAUAAUAUUAAAAGUAGGCAGCCCAGGCCCAAUUCUAAUAGAGAAGCCCAACCACAACUAGUGUCAUUUAACCCAACGUCUAUUUCUCUCUGCUCAUUUGCUAUUAGCUUAGGGCAACAACAAAAAACUCACUAAUUCUCAUUUUCUCUCUCCUCUGUAUUUCCCUCUCCUUUCUUCCAUUGAUAAUCAAGCAUUGACUCAUGGUGGACGCCAUGGAACAUCUCAGAGGUCACAUUUACCUUGUUCGAAUCCCUGAACCAACCAAUCGCAUCUUCAAAAGAAGAGUGUUGCGUUUCUUUUCAUACUCAAAAAAUAAUGUUGUUGAUCGAUUCUCCAGUGAUUGCAUUCGUCGAGUCAGACUCGUUGACUCAGAACUCGUCCUCAAGAAAACUCAAUGCGAAGCUGUCGGAGUUCGUUCCAAAGAAAGUUUUAUGAUUCUCCAUAACCUGAGCAUGAAACAGAGUUAAAGAAUGCUAGAUUAUUGUAGCUUCUUGAAUUAUUAUAGUGGUCACAUAAUGAUUUAUAUUGGUGACACAAUGGUUAUUGUUGGUCACUUAUUAUUUUUUAAACAUUUAGGAAUCCACACAUGUAAUUGGAGUGACAUUUUGUUAGUGAUUAUGGUAAUAAAUACAGUUGGUUCUUUCCA